This 301-nucleotide ribosomal RNA is filed under the name uncultured bacterium. RNAcentral describes it as "partial 16S ribosomal RNA". It matches the Rfam family "Archaeal small subunit ribosomal RNA", at positions 459 to 760 of the family's 1478-position model. The record is from RNAcentral.
CAGCCGCCGCGGUAACACCAGCACCUCGAGUGGUCAGGAGGUUUAUUGGGCCUAAAGCAUCCGUAGCCGGUUGCAUAAGUUUUCGGUUAAAUCUAUGCGCUUAACGUAUAGGCCGCCGAAAAUACUGUGCAGCUAGGGAGUGGGAGAGGUACACGGUACUCGAUAGGAAGGGGUAAAAUCCUUUGAUCUAUUGAUGGCCACCUGUGGCGAAGGCGGUGUACCAGAACACGUUCGACGGUGAGGGAUGAAAGCUGGGGGAGCAAACCGGAUUAGAUACCCGUGUAGUCCCUGUCUCUUAUAC